RNAcentral lists this long non-coding RNA (843 nucleotides) under Homo sapiens (human). The record is from RNAcentral. Lineage: Eukaryota; Metazoa; Chordata; Mammalia; Primates; Hominidae.
UGCCCAAGAAACUCACAUGCUGUGAGUGACUACAAAGGAAUUCCAGUCCCAGCCUGAACUGAAAGCCAGGGAGGACCCUUCCCUGCCAACUCGCCUGCCCUAAGCACAGAGCGUGGCUGUGCGAAUUGCAGACUUGGUGGAUGACGGCUGUGGGGAGUUAGAGAGAGCCGCAGCCUGAAAGCCCAACCUCAGGGAAGUGAUUACACCCAUCAAGACCGACCACUCAAUGGACGGACAAACCAUCAAUAAACAUUAUGUUUUGCCAAGAGGAACUAAUGACUUGGGAAAUACAUACAAAAAUAAAUUUAAAAAACACCACAUUCGAAACUGAAAGGUUAGGAUAACAUCAACUAUAAAAAUAUGAAGACUAUGCACAAGAAACUGCCAAUUGCCAGAAUAAAUAUCACUGGGUGAUAGGAUUCUGAAUAUUCUUUAUGCUGUUCAGUAAUUCCUGAAUUUUUAACAAAGGUCAUUUUCUGGUUUUAUACAAAACUAGAAAGGUCACUAAAAAUUCACAGGAGAGAUAACCUAGUGAUUAAGAGCAGGGAUCUAAGCUGGCUGAGCCUUCGACGCCAAUCCCCUGUUGCUCCCUGGCUCUCAGACCUCAGAUGAGGUCAGCUCGGCUUCCUUGUCUGCAAAAUUAAUAACCACACCUGCCUCAUAAGGUUUCUCAAGAACUGAGCAAGAUGGUGCCUGCACAGUGCUGGGUAGAGUCUGUGCACAUGAGCCCAGAACAUACGUGAGGACUGCUGUUUGUAUUAACAUGGGAAAUGCUUAUGUUACUCUGUUGUCGCGUGACAAACCAGGACCCAGAAUCUUCUAUAGAACAUGCUCUCAACUGGA